RNAcentral lists this ribosomal RNA (253 nucleotides) under uncultured bacterium. Its description in RNAcentral is "partial 16S ribosomal RNA". It matches the Rfam family "Bacterial small subunit ribosomal RNA", at positions 524 to 776 of the family's 1533-position model. The record is from RNAcentral.
UACGAAGGGGGCUAGCGUUGCUCGGAUUGACUGGGCGUAAAGGGCGCGUAGGCGGUUCGUACAGUCAGACGUGAAAUUCCUGGGCUCAACCUGGGGGCUGCGUUUGAUACGUGCGGACUUGAGUGCGGAAGAGGGUCGUGGAAUUCCCAGUGUAGAGGUGAAAUUCGUAGAUAUUGGGAGGAACACCGGUGGCGAAGGCGGCCCUCUGGACCGGUACUGACGCUGAUGCGCGAAAGCGUGGGGAGCAAACGGG